This 301-nucleotide ribosomal RNA is filed under the name uncultured bacterium. RNAcentral's name for it is "partial 16S ribosomal RNA". It matches the Rfam family "Bacterial small subunit ribosomal RNA", at positions 509 to 807 of the family's 1533-position model. The record is from RNAcentral.
CAGCAGCCGCGGUAAUACGUAGGGUGCGAGCGUUAAUCGGAAUUACUGGGCGUAAAGCGUGCGCAGGCGGUUUUGUAAGACAGGCGUGAAAUCCCCGGGCUCAACCUGGGAAUGGCGCUUGUGACUGCAAAGCUAGAGUGCGGCAGAGGGGGAUGGAAUUCCGCGUGUAGCAGUGAAAUGCGUAGAUAUGCGGAGGAACACCGAUGGCGAAGGCAAUCCCCUGGGCCUGCACUGACGCUCAUGCACGAAAGCGUGGGGAGCAAACAGGAUUAGAUACCCGAGUAGUCCCUGUCUCUUAUAC